CACGUCCUGGCCAGUAUAAGGGUUAAUUGUCAUUGUAGUUUGGUCAGGACGUGGCAGAGGGUAUUUGGUUUAUGUGGUUCGGGGUGGUGUGUUUGUUGUAGGGGAUUUUAUUUAUGUAUUCCGGGGUUUUUGGGCACUGUUCCUUGUUUAUGUAUUUCUAUGUUGAUCUAGCUGGUUGUAUAGGGUAUUUGGUUUAUGUGGUUCGGGGUGGUGUGUUUGUUGUAGGGGAUUUUAUUUAUGUAUUCCGGGGUUUUUGGGCACUGUUCCUUGUUUAUGUAUUUCUAUGUUGAUCUAGCUGGUUGUAUGUCUAUGUUUGGUUAAUUGGGGUUGGGACUCUCAAUUGAAGGCAGGUGUUGUCUAUUUGCCUUUGAUUGAGAGUCCCAUAUAGUAGGGUGUGUUUGUGUUUGUCUUUUGUGGGAGAUUGUUUGUGAGCACUGCUUGUUGAGCCUGCCACACUGUUGUUAGUUGUGAGUAUCAUUUCUUGUUUUGUUUUUUCUGUGGAUGCCUUACUCUUUUUGUGAAUUAAAAGAAUGAGUAUCCAUAUACCCGCUGCAUUUUGGUCUGAUUCUACCACUGUGGUAGAAUCAAUGAUGCAGAUGACAGUCAUACAUUGACUUACAUAUUUACAGCUUUUGGAUUCAUUUUGUGAAUUUGAUUCAAACUUAGAUUACUGAAACAAGUUGCUCCACCAUUCUUUGGUCCAAUGACAUCAGUCUCUCCAUUAAUUUGGUGUUCUAUGGGGAAAAAUACCCCAAAUAAAAAGAACAUGUCGGUGUUUUGGUCAGUGUGUAUCAGAAUAGGAAACCCAUAUGAAAAUAAAAGUGAGUUGUGCUUCCUAAAUUAAUAAAUCAAUGAUUUUAACUAACCGCAAACCAGUGGCAGAAUGGAAUGGACACUCUUCCCUCUGGGUCCCUGUAUCCAUCUAACCCAUGGAAAUCCAUCUCCUCAACAGGCCUUAUAGAAACCAUUGUUGACUGUGUUGAACCAUGUAUGCGUGGUGAUGGCUGUUGAAACUGUCUGGUAGUGUCACGACACCUACGGAAGGUGGCGCCCCUCCUCGCCCGGGCGGCGGUCGGCGGUCGUCGUCGCCGGCCUACUAGCUGCCAUCGAUUUAUGUUUCACGUUCUGUUAGUUAGGCCUAGGUUAGUUGCGCACCUGUUUUGUGUUAGUUGUUAGUGGGGAGGGGUAUUUAGGCUAGUUAGUUAGGUUUGUUGUUUGUGCGUGAUUGUUCAUUUGUCAGGGUGUGUUUCAUGUGGUUCUGUAUAUUGUGGAGUUACGCUAUUCCUUUUGGGCUGCGUCCCUGGUUACGUUCUUUUAAGGGUGGUGCGUUACUUUUGCACACCUUGCACUCCAUACCUUGCAUAUUUUUCCGUGUGGAUAUUUUUAUUAAAUUCAUUAACGGAAUCUUUCUGUCUCCUGCGCCUGACUCUUCGGAAUCCACAAGCCACCCAUUGUGACAGGUAGCAGUACUUUACCACACCAGCACCAAGGAAU
Molecule: long non-coding RNA, 1494 nt
Filed under: Salmo salar (Atlantic salmon)
Lineage: Eukaryota; Metazoa; Chordata; Actinopteri; Salmoniformes; Salmonidae
Description: lncRNA (ENSSSAG00000088341.1)
Source: RNAcentral